Molecule: long non-coding RNA, 1774 nt
Organism: Esox lucius (northern pike)
Lineage: Eukaryota; Metazoa; Chordata; Actinopteri; Esociformes; Esocidae
Source: Ensembl
GGCGCUGGGAAACUACCGCGCAUCUCACAUAUUGCCGCGCUGCGUCGCAUAGUGAUGGGUGGACUGAAAGGAGCGCUCCCGAGACGCAUCCCUUAAACAUUUCAAUGUCUCUUCCUCGGAGCCGCGGACUCUAGGCGAUCUGUGGACCGCUUCGCUUUCUGUCCAAACGCGGCUUGAUCAGAUGUCUUGUAUACGACCAAAACUUCAAACACGCAUUCACUGGAAACGCAAAUGGCUCCCAGUUUGAGGAGUGCGCGGAGACAUUUCCCCAAACUGGAUAACUGCAGCGCGGCUGCUGGAGACUUGCGCUCGCAGGAAUGGAUAAGAGUGAGAGGAGAGGGGUUGUUUCUGAGAACCAGGAAAAGAUACGGAGCAGGGGUAAAGCCUGCAAACAGUCUGUUAUUGAUAGGAAUGGUCCUAAUUAUGUUGCAGUGUGGACAGGCCACCGAGGAUGAGAAUAACAACGAUGCAUCUGGUUCCUCUGCUCUACCCGGUGAGCCCGCCCAUCACACUAACCCAUUGGUGGGUCUGCGGGUGGUGGAGGAGGAGCCUUUCCCAGUCAUCCAACCACAUGGCAGUGCUUUGUCAAAGGGGGAUGAGUUAAGGGAGCAGCCUGCAUUCUCUUCUGUACUGACCCUGCUGACAGACACUCCCAAACGCCCACUGAGCUUGGUCCAAUCCAGGGCCUCUCCAACCAUCACCAAGGACAACAGACCAACCAUCCAAUGGCCUUCAGUUGCACCCGUCCAAAUUGCUAAGAGAUCUUCUUCCUAUUUUUCUUCCUCGUCUUCCCCUGCAGAGCGGAGCAGACACUUGUCUGAUAGCUCAGGUUUGACUCCAAGUAGGCUUCACCAGACUGUUACCAUGGCUACAUCAGUUUCACCAGUGGCAUUCUUCAUGACUGGGAAUUUGAGAGCAAUGUUAACUUCAUUGUCAUUAUCAUCACCAGCAUUGUUAUCUUCAUUAUCACGGUUGUCAUCAUCAUCAGAAGCAACAAUAGCAUUACCGUCAUUAUCGUCACUUUCAUUAUCUUCAUCCUCAUUAUCACCUUCAUCAGUGUCUUCAGCAUCACCACUAUCACUGUCACCAGCAUCAUCAUCACCAACAGCAUUAUCAUUACCAUCAUUCGCAUCACCAUCAUCAUCAGAAAUACCUGAAUCAUCACCAUCAUUAUCAUCACCACCAGCAUCAUCACCUUCCUUAGCAUCACUAUCCUUAGGGUCAGGAUCAUCAUCAUCACCAUUCUUAGGGUCAGGAUCAUCAUCACCAUCAUUAUCAUCACCAUCCUUAGGGUCAGGAUCAUCACCAUUCUUAGGGUCAGGAUCAUCAUCACCAUCAUUAUCAUCACCAUCCUUAGGGUCAGGAUCAUCAUCAUCUGCAUUACCAACCUUAGCAUCAGUAUCAUCAUCACCAUCAUCAUCAUCUUUCUUAGGGUCAGGAUCAUCGUCAUCCUCUUUAAUACCAAAACCGAUGUACACAACAAGGACAUACAGAGCAUCAGCCAACAUAGACACCAGUCCAUUCACAACAUGGACACCAGCAAAGAUAGAACCGAAACACUCCACAUCUAUAGCGGUCACCUCCGAAAACGUGCCUCUCAAAGUUUCAGCCAGCGCCGUCACGUUCUCACGCAACCGUAGUAUCACUAUGCUUUUCAGUAACAACAGAGAGGAAAGCUCUUUUCUUCUUUCCUCUCAUAUCCAGGAGAGUCAAGCUGAUCAAAGCAAACAGGUGGCUAGCUCAGCAUUGCUGUCAACUCCAUCUACUCCACCAC